RNAcentral lists this ribosomal RNA (449 nucleotides) under uncultured Pseudaminobacter sp. Its description in RNAcentral is "bacterial SSU rRNA". It matches the Rfam family "Bacterial small subunit ribosomal RNA", at positions 39 to 507 of the family's 1533-position model. The record is from RNAcentral. Lineage: Bacteria; Pseudomonadati; Pseudomonadota; Alphaproteobacteria; Hyphomicrobiales; Phyllobacteriaceae.
CCUCGGCGUCAGAACGAAACGGACUGCGGGCAGGCUUAACACAUAGCAAGUCGAGCGCGUAGCAAUACGAGCGGCAGACGGGUGGAGUAACGACGUGGGAAGUCUACCUAAUCUCUCGGAAUAACCCAGGGAAACUUGGACUAAUACCGUAUACGUCCUUCGGGAGAAAGAUUUAUCGGAGAUGGAUGAGCCCGCGUUGGAUUAGCUAGUUGUGGGGUAAUGGCUACCAAGGCGACGAUCCAUAGCUGGUCUGAGAGGAUGAUCAGCCACACUGGGACUGAGACACGGCCCAGACUCCUACGGGAGGCAGCAGUGGGGAAUAUUGGACAAUGGGGGGCAACCCUGAUCCAGCCAUGCCGCGUGAGUGAUGAAGGCCCUAGGGUUGUAAAGCUCUUUCACCGGUGAAGAUAAUGACGGUAACCGGAGAAGAAGCCCCGGCUAACUUCGUG